UAAUGUUUUAUUCAAAGUGAGACAGCUCAGCUCACAUUUCACAAUUCAUUCUGGCCCUAAGGACACAGCUGUAAACCUGCUGCACACUCAGAUAUUUUUCAAAUAAUAUGCAAACACAUUUCUUUGUGGUGAUCAACUCCAGGACACUAACAAACAAACACUAAACCUACAGGAAAGCAAAACCUUUAUUAUAGAAAAUGUCUAUAUGUAAUAUUAAUAUGAAAUAGUCCCCAAAAAGAAACCAAAAUUAUAUAAAAAACUCAUAAAAAGAAAUUCAGACUUACAGGUUUUUCACAAAACUACUACUUUUGACAAAACAACGUCAGUACAAAAAGAUUAAAUUUUCUUAAAACAGCAUAUCAUUUCGCACACAUCAACAGGAGAGCCACUCCAAGGUAAGACACCCUUCACAGUCAGCAGUCAUUUGUUUGUGUUAAUAUAUGCCAUAUACAGUACUUUGACUUAUUUUAGGUUUACAUAAGUGUGAAAUAGGUGUGAAAUAAAAAUCAUGAAAUCAUAAUAAACAGUUCGAAGUCAAGGUACUAGAACACAGUGGUUGAAAUAGAAAGAUGUAAAAACCUCAAUAACAGGCAUAAUUUAAAUCAGUUAUAUUACCAAAUAUUAGAUUUUAAGUCUGGUAUUUCUGGAUUGUGAUUAAUAAUUUUCUAUUAAAACUAAAAUGUAUGUACAUUUGGUUUUUAAAAUCUACAACCCAGAUUGGUUAAUCCUGCAAAAUGGGUCACACUUAGAUUUUGAAUUGUAUUUAGAAAUCUGUAACAUUAAAACUGUUUAUCUUCAUUUUUCUUUUUUUAAAAUCUUCUUUUAAUGUAUGUUUAUAGUUUGCAGUUAUGUGCAGCACUUUGUUUCAGCUGUGGUUGUUUUAAAUGCUUCAUAAAUAAAGUUGCUAUCAUACAUUCAGGAUAGUAAGAUGUUACUCAUCAUAUCUAUGGACAAUUUUAUAUAAAAACAUAAAAAAUGAACAAAUUAGAAGAAAUAACCCCCACCGAAGCUCUUGUAAGCAUAAAUUAUCAAGAAAAUACACAAAUACAUGAUAAAGUAUUACAAUAGACAAGAAAUUAAUAUCUGUAGUUCAAAUAUAAAACAUAAUUUUAGUGUACAAGUGUCAUCACCAGUGCAUGCUAUCUUAUGUUUGUCCGAAGGAGAUUGUUGUCUCAUGCAAAAAUCAACAGGUACUUCCUAGACAUUCCUGCACCUCCUGCAGAGUUGCUAUUGUCCUCCGGAUUGCCUCUCUGACAAGUUUCUGUCUAGUUAUUUUAUGUUUUGGAGAAACAUUAUAUUUUUUAAAUGUCACGUUUGUUGCAUAUUUUUUGCCAAUCACUGAAUGCUAUCUUUACUGUGCAUUAAGCCAUGGGUUUGUCAUGUAUCUUUCUCCUGACUUACAACUCUUAAUAACUGGAUCCUGGUGAUUUUGUUGCAAACUAUGCCUGAGCUAAAGGAUGUCCUCAAAAUCCUCCAAGGACAGUUGGACGCAUUGAAAUAAAGAUCUCUUUCAUCAUCUCAAGAUGGCGCUCAUCUUUCACCAGAAACAAGAAAAUGUAGCAACAGCACUCUUCUAGCCUCCUGUCUGCUUCAGGGUUGAUUUUCAGACUUUUUUGGUGCUUUUAAGACAAUUAAAGGAAUAGUUUCAAUGCAUUAGCAGUCACAAUUUUAUCUGCAAUUAACAAUUUUCUAAACAGCCUUGGACUGCAUUAACCCAUUUAAUCCCACCGGUUACAAUAGUGACUGUAAAACAAAUGUUUAAUUUCUAAGGCUAUAAAAAUGAUACUGAAGGAUCUGUCAAUACAUUUCCAGGACAUAUUGAAAUAAUAAAGGGUCUCAAUGAAAAAUGUGCAGUGUCGCAUGUUUACUGUAAAUUGUCACAUGACCAGAGCUGUUUACUUCCUGUUUGUGCCAAGAGAAAAGGAUGGCUGCAAGAAAGCUCCUAAAGAAAAGCACCGUUUCCGAGUCUUGAGAGAGCUGGAGAGGACAAUGUGGGGGAAUCCAACUGCCCAUUUAUCACAGGGCCAGUACUGCAGUCCAGGCAGUGAAUAGGGCAUUUCGUUGCUGGCAUCCAGCCCUGUAGGCUGUGAGUAAAGAUGAGUCUGAUGUUUUCAAGAAGAAAGCAAAGCCAGUGGAAGGAGGUCUUACCAGAUCCCGUGAAGGUAGCAGAAGUUUAACCGCUGCCAGAGACUGCAGCACAAACGGUCGCUAAUCCAGCAGGAGAUGGCAAGCACCCACAGAGCCACCGACAGCUUGGCGAGGCGUAAAGCCUUCUGCUAAGGUGUACAGAAGGUGGAGGCCAAAACAGUUCAAGGCGUAGGCGUUUGCUGCAGGUUUGACAAACGAUGACGCAGUGGUGAUGACGGUAAUCAAAAGGACGAGGCGGGAAAAUGUAGACCUGUGGUUGGGGAAUUGUCGGAGAAGCAUUAAGCAAACAUUUAGGAAGAUUUUGAUUCAAAAUCACAUGAUGCUCAGCAAGAAACAAAUGCAAAGCUUUAACAAAGAAGGAAGAAAGACAUAUCAGCAUAAAAUUCUAUCCUGUGCUUUAUUCUUUAACAUCUCCAACAUAAGAGGCUGUAUUGCUUUAAAAACUGGAAGAAUCAUUGGAUUGAUUAAUGUAUUCAUAAAAAAUGUUGUCUUUUGAGGUUAAAUAUUUACAUGGACUCUAGUGCUGUUUUUGCAGUGCUUUUGUGUCACAAUUAGGCGAAUACUGCAGCAAUGAGUCUCUGCUACAGUGGUGUCCAAAGCUUUGGCACCUUGAACCAAAAUCAGCAAGUGCAAAGUACUCAGUGGCUAUAAUUUCUUUUUUUUUCCAAUUAAAAACUGCAAAAUUAUUUUUCUGUGAAUUUCUUUUGGCAAUAAAUUUAACAUGCAAUAUUUUAAUUAGACAAAGUAGUCUAAGCUUUGUAGAAAACAAAUUAUUGUAGGUGUGAAAAAGGGUCAUAUAUAUUUGUAUUAAGAUGUAUUAAGAAAUGCAAUUUUGGGUUGAAUGUUUUCUAUUUUGUUGUUCAAGAAAAUGUUUUUAGUCCACUGCCAGCAAGAAAAACUUUCAUUGAAAACCCUUUCUGUAUUUAGCCUAGUUUAAUGAAUGUGUGCACCAAAGUCUCUCUGCCAAAUUGUUACCUUUCUUGAACUGUGAUUGGGGGCCACACAUAAUUAUUCCAAGGGCCACACUUUGGACACACCUGCUCUAGAAUAAAUCCAGGUGUGUGGCUGCCUCCUCAGCCAGCACAGGUUAGGUUUCAUGGUGUGCAGAAAAGAAUCCAUUAUUCCUUCUUUAAAGGGUUAUUAACGUGUCUCUGUGUGUCUUGAUAUAAAAGUGAAAAAUACCAGAAGACCUUGCGCUAACUUGUUGUAGGGUAGGGCAAUGAUUUGUCACCUGGUUCGCAGGUACAAAACUAAACUUACCUGUCUUUAAUGAAAGAGGGAAAUAGUUUACGAGGGAACCAAACUGCAUAUCCGACAGCCAACACCCACAAAAUGGAGAGCUCAUCCAACAUCUGGCCAACGAAGCUAAGAGUCAUGUGGAAGUACGCUGAGAAAACUCCUGCAGAUUACAGAAUAACAGACUCUAUUAUGGGAAAAUACCUAACAAAAAAUGUUGCAAGAUGAACAUAUUAGAAUUAAUGCUGUGGAUUGGUGUGGUUUCUACAUCUCAAAGAGUUACAGGUUGGCUUUUACAUCUAUAUUGAUAACAAUAAAUUAGAGAAGAUGGCUACAACACAUGCAAAUAUAAGACUACACUUGGGUAGGAGGGGAAAUUUGACCCAUGUACAAUCUUAAAAUGGGUCCCAUACCAACUAUAUUAUCUUUGGUUUUCAAAAACUUUAUUCAAAUUAAACUCUUGUAGAUACACAUAAACAUUUUAAUAAUUACCCCAACAAUCUGAAAACUGCUGUAGUAAAAAACGAACAAAGUCUAUGAUACUUUCUUCAAUAUUUAACUUUUAUAUGGUUUUUAGUAUAUAUUUGAUAGUUUUACUAUCCAUGCAGCUCUCCAGCAAUAUUAGCAAACUUGUUCAUAUGUGUAAAAAAAUAUUUGAGGGUUUGUUAAAUGUUUUAAAUCUUAAAUGACAUUAAAUGACAUCUGACUCUGAAUGUUUGAGAAAAUUUGAAUACAUUUAUUUUGUGGAAAAAAAGAUCCCCCAAAUGAUUUAAUGUUGUUUACAUUGGCACCACAAUUAUAGGUCAUGCAAAGUAAUUCUUGUAAAGCAAAUAAACUGAAGCAUUUUGUCUUUUUUAAACUGAAGAGUAGAGCCAAGAUGUGAUUCCUCUUCGCCACUCUUCAGAAAGUGGAAAGACAAGAGUGCAUAACAUUAAAGUAAAGCAGAUGUGUGUUAAUGUUUGUAAGACAGCAGAUGACUGCAAGAAACGAGUUACUCACCAAAACUCGCUCGUAUCAACAGUCAUAGCAACAAAAAAUGGUUUAGACAAGUCUAACUGUAACAAAAAAAGCUGGAAGAAGAUCCAAGUUUAUACUAUCACCUUGCAUAAUGAGUAGGAGGGUGAGGGAGGUGAAAGAAAUCUCCAUCUGGCAUCUUAGGAUCAACAAGUUUCCAUAACAGCUGGUAGACCCUAUCUACAACAAAUUGUCUGGAAACUGCCAGGAAAAAAAAGCAAUUUCUGUUCUACCAUCACAAAUGUGAACAAGCAGAUGUUUUAAAACGCUGCAAGGACUUUAACUGAACCAUGUGCUUUGGUACAAUUGGGCUAAAACCAUGCUUUACAACAACAAAAACUGUAUUUUUGUUUGGCGUGAAACAAAUAAAUAAUAUCAAUAAUAUGAAUAAAAGCACUUAAUGGUCGGAACACCAUCUGGACCCGGAACAUCUCGGCUCCAGGUGAGGAAGGCUCAACAGAGGCUCUUCUUCCUUAGGAAGUUAAAAAGGUCCUCUAGAAUACUCGAGAACUUUUACAGAGCCACAAUAGAGAGCUCCCUGUGUCUAAGUGCAACAGUGUAGUACAGGAGCUGCACGGCACAGGAAGGAAAGGACUGGACCUUCAUGAUUAAAACAGCACAGGAGAUUGUGGGACGUCCUCUCCCUGAUCUGGACCCCAUCCACACCAGACGAGCUCAGAAGAAAGCCAGGAACAUCACUGCUGAACCCUCCCACCCUGCCCACAGCCUGUUUGUACGGCUGCCUUCAGGAAAGCGGUACAGAACCAUCAGAACACGGACUAACAGACUGAAAGACAACUUCUUCCAUAAAGCUGCCAAAGCCAUCACUCCCUUUUAGAGUUUCAUACUCUAAUACAAUCCAACACCAAAGCAGGUCAUUGUAUUAUGCCUGCACCUUAGACUCUGCAUAAUGUUGCAUUGUCAAUCACAUACUGGACUCUGUAUUAUAUACUAUCCUGCUGGUUACUGCACUACUUUAUACACUACCUAAUACUGUGGCCUGCUAGUCAUUGCUAUGCAUAUUAUAUUUUGCUUUAUUGCACUACUUACAGCACUUUAUUGCUCAUCAAGGCAAUUACAUUUUAUCUUAUGUUUUUGUAACAUUGUGUUGUGUUGUUUUACUUUUAUGCUGUGGAAGCUUUGAUCUCCCAAAUGAAAUUUCACCAUUUCCCUCCAGCACAGCCCAUUGCUGUGGUGGAGGGUAUGUAAUGCUUUGGCCCUGUUUCUUUUAAAAGCCACUGGGAACCAAGUUAGAGUGUGUGGCACCAUGGAUUCUGGCAAUAUGUUCAAAACUUUGGAUUUUGUGCCCCCAUUGGAAUAAAUUCAAUCAAAGUCAUGUAGUGUGACAUAAUGCGACUGCAAGAAAAAAUAAAUUAUAUUUAAGAUCUUU
Molecule: long non-coding RNA, 5788 nt
Organism: Girardinichthys multiradiatus
Lineage: Eukaryota; Metazoa; Chordata; Actinopteri; Cyprinodontiformes; Goodeidae
Exons: 4
Source: RefSeq, a predicted model, not a curated record